CCUACGGGAGGCAGCAGUGGGGAAUAUUGCACAAUGGGGGAAACCCUGAUGCAGCGACGCCGCGUGAGUGAAGAAGUAAUUCGUUACGUAAAGCUCUAUCAGCAGGGAAGAAAGAGAAAGUUGACGGUACCUGAAGAAUAAGCCCCGGCUAACCACGUGCCAGCAGCCGCGGUAAUACGUAGGGAGCGAGCGGUAUCCGGAAGUAUUGGGCGUAAAGGGUGCGUAGGCGGAAUGCCAAGUCAGCGGUAAAAUCGCGGGGCUCAACCUCGCUCCGCCGUUGAAACUGGCGUUCUUGAGUGGGCGAGAAGUAUGCGGAAUGCGUGGUGUAGCGGUGAAAUGCAUAGAUAUCACGCAGAACUCCGAUUGCGAAGGCAGCAUACCGGCGCCCAACUGACGCUGAAGCACGAAAGCGUGGGUAUCGAACAGGAUUAGAUACCCUAGUAGUC
Molecule: ribosomal RNA, 446 nt
Filed under: uncultured bacterium
Lineage: Bacteria
Description: partial 16S ribosomal RNA
Rfam family: Bacterial small subunit ribosomal RNA
Source: RNAcentral